CAAAAACAAAAAAAACAAGAGCUCUGGAUU
This 30-nucleotide non-coding RNA is filed under the name Cricetulus griseus (Chinese hamster). The record is from RNAcentral. Lineage: Eukaryota; Metazoa; Chordata; Mammalia; Rodentia; Cricetidae.